Molecule: unclassified non-coding RNA, 323 nt
Filed under: soil metagenome
Description: partial contains 5.8S ribosomal RNA, internal transcribed spacer 2, and large subunit ribosomal RNA
Rfam family: 5.8S ribosomal RNA (bases 1-120)
Source: RNAcentral
GAUGAAGAACGUAGCGAAAUGUGAUAAGUAGUGUGAAUUGCAGAAUUCAGUGAAUCAUCGAAUCUUUGAACGCACAUUGCGCCCCUUGGUAUUCCAUGGGGCAUGCCUGUUCGAGUGUCAUUUGUACCUUCAAGCUUUGCUUGGUGUUGGGUGUUUGUCCCGAGGGACUCGCCUUAAAGUAAUUGGCAGCCAGUGUUUGGUUUUGAAGCGCAGCACAAGUCGCGAUUCAAGGCUACACGCCCGCUUCCACAAGCCUUUUUUCACUUUUGACCUCGGAUCAGGUAGGGAUACCCGCUGAACUUAAGCAUAUCAAUAAGCGGGGA